Molecule: long non-coding RNA, 970 nt
Filed under: Gallus gallus (chicken)
Lineage: Eukaryota; Metazoa; Chordata; Aves; Galliformes; Phasianidae
Source: RNAcentral
UGGCAGUGGUAGCUUUGCUGUGUACAGAUGUCUCUAUUGUUAAACACGUAUUUGUUUUACAUUCUAGGAACACACAGGUAAGGUAAUAUCAACAUGAGAUAUGAUUUUGAUAUUCAAUGUCUUAUGUAUCUAAAAUCACCUUACUUACAUUGAUGAGGAGAAAACAAUACAGUCAUCCACUAGUCAAGAGAGUGAUGCUUGGACCUAAGAUUAAUGCCAGAUUUCAAACUUGUGCUUCACUCCACAAAGUUAUGUAGGACAACUUAAGAUCUCCAUGGGACAGCAGUCGCUAUCUGUUUAGCUAUCAAAAAUGAGAUGUCUAGAAAAAGUAUAAGAGGGAAAAAAGUGACCUCACAAAAAAAAAAUACACCCGUUACUUGAGAUCCGUAAGAUCUGUGUUUUAAUAACAGCUAAUUGAUCCUCAUAACAAGAAUUCGAGAGGUGAAAUUACAGUACACAAAUCGAAAUAUAAACUAAACUAUCCCUAGUUAUACAAUAUACAUUAAGAAUGCAAGCUCUGUAACAAUAUAAAAAUGCUUUUACACACAGUAGUUGCAAAAAGCUGUUCUGUUAAUUCCAGGGGCUUGUAGAAAAAAAAACAAAGUCUUCCAGCAUUCACCUUAAGUUAUUGGCAAUCUUAACUCUUGUUAGUAGUAGCAGGGGCUUUGUUCUCUCCUUCCAGUUCUUCUACUCCCGCUUGUGUCAUCAGGUCUGCUAUGUUUUUCUCCAGGUCAUCUAUGCGGCAGCUCAUGUCAUCAAUUCGUCCAAUUAUUUGGUCAGACAUGGUUUGAAAUUUGUCCUGCAUUUGCUGAAGCAACGUCUGCACCACGGCCGUGAGGUCCUGCACGGUUUUGGGGUCGGUCUCCGCCAUGGCCUCGGCAGCGGUUCUGUGCACCCCGGGCUCCACAGCAACGGCGCUUCCGGGCCGCGCCUCGAGACUUCCGGCUUAGAGCUCUCGCGAGAAGAGGAG